GACGAACGCUGGCGGCGUGCUUAACACAUGCAAGUCGAACGGUAAGGCCCUUCCAGGGCUCCACGAGUGGCGCCCGGGGGCGUAACACGUGAGUAAGCUGCCCACACCUUCAUGACAACGCUAGGAAACUGGUCCUAUUCCUCGAGAUGUGCUCCUGCUGCAUGGCGGGGGCUUCAGAGCUCCGGCGGUGGUGGAUGGACUCGCGGCCCAUCAGCUUGUUGGUGGGGGAGUGGCCUACCAAGGCGACGGCGGGCAGCCGGGCGGAGAGGGUGACCGGCCACAUUGGGGCUGGGAUACGGCCCAGACUCCGACGGGAGGCAGCAGUGGGGAAUAUUGCACAAUGGGCGCAAGCCGGAUGCAGCAACGCCGCGGGCGGGAUGACGGCCUUCGGGUUGUAAACCGCAUUCAGCAGGGACGAAGCUGUUCGUGACGGUACCUGCAGAAGAAGCACCGGCUAACUACGUG
Molecule: ribosomal RNA, 465 nt
Filed under: uncultured bacterium
Lineage: Bacteria
Description: partial 16S ribosomal RNA
Rfam family: Bacterial small subunit ribosomal RNA
Source: RNAcentral